RNAcentral lists this ribosomal RNA (253 nucleotides) under uncultured bacterium. Its description in RNAcentral is "partial 16S ribosomal RNA". It matches the Rfam family "Bacterial small subunit ribosomal RNA", at positions 524 to 776 of the family's 1533-position model. The record is from RNAcentral.
UACAGAGGGUGCAAGCGUUAAUCGGAAUUACUGGGCGUAAAGCGCACGUAGGCGGCUUGGUAUGUCGGGUGUGAAAUCCCCGGGCUCAACCUGGGAACUGCAUCCGAAACUGCCUUGCUAGAGUAUGGGAGAGGGAAGCGGAAUUUCCGGUGUAGCGGUGAAAUGCGUAGAUAUCGGAAGGAACAUCAGUGACGAAGGCGGCUUCCUGGACCAAUACUGACGCUCAGGUGCGAAAGCGUGGGGAGCAAACAGG